UACAGAGGGUGCAAGCGUUGUUCGGAAUUAUUGGGCGUAAAGGGAGUGUAGGCGGCUUGUUAAGUCUUCUGUGAAAUCUGCGGGCUCAGCCUGCAAAGUGCAGAGGAAACUGGCGAGCUUGAGUGUCGGAGAGGAUAGGGGAAUACCCAGUGUAGAGGUGAAAUUCGUAGAGAUUGGGUGGAACACCAGUGGCGAAGGCGCCUAUCUGGCUGACAACUGACGCUGAGACUCGAAAGCAUGGGGAGCAAACAGG
RNAcentral lists this ribosomal RNA (253 nucleotides) under uncultured bacterium. RNAcentral's name for it is "partial 16S ribosomal RNA". It matches the Rfam family "Bacterial small subunit ribosomal RNA", at positions 524 to 776 of the family's 1533-position model. The record is from RNAcentral.